Molecule: long non-coding RNA, 453 nt
Organism: Trichosurus vulpecula (common brushtail)
Lineage: Eukaryota; Metazoa; Chordata; Mammalia; Diprotodontia; Phalangeridae
Exons: 2
Source: RefSeq, a predicted model, not a curated record
UGUACCUCUGAGACUUAAGUGAACCAAAUGUGGAAACUCUUCACUCGCUGUUUAUUUUUACCUAUGGGAAGCUCACUUUCUUUCUCUCCCAGCUGUAAUCUUCAUUUGGGACCAAUUAAAGCAGCCCCACAUCUUGGGAUAGAGUUUUUGCGACACUUGAAGAGUUUCUUCCAGAUCAUGUUCAAAAUUGAAACUAAGCCAUGUGGUGAAGAGCUCAAGGGAGGGGAGAAGGUAUUGAUGACGUGUGUGGGAGUUGGCUUCUCAAACCUCAGCAAGACCAUCAAGUAACAUCCCUUCCGCCUUCAAGUCAGACCAGACCAGACUGAAAAGUGGAGACUCCUGAAGACUGCCAUAUACCUAUUUAGGACAAGACAGCCACAUACCCUAAGGACUUUUUUUUUCUCCCUUUUUCUUUUUUAUAGGACAUUAAAAAUAAAAGACAUUUGAAUAAUA